GGGUUGUGAGGUUAAGCGACUAAGCGUACACGGUGGAUGCCCUGGCAGUCAGAGGCGAUGAAGGACGUGCUAAUCUGCGAAAAGCGUCGGUAAGGUGAUAUGAACCGUUAUAACCGGCGAUGUCCGAAUGGGGAAACCCAGUGCAAUUCGUUGCACUAUCGUUAACUGAAUACAUAGGUUAACGAGGCGAACCGGGGGAACUGAAACAUCUAAGUACCCCGAGGAAAAGAAAUCAACCGAGAUUCCCCCAGUAGCGGCGAGCGAACGGGGAGCAGCCCAGAGUCUGAAUCAGCUUGUGUGUUAGUGGAACGGUCUGGAAAGUCCGACGGUACAGGGUGAUAGUCCCGUACACCAAAAUGCACAGGUUGUGAACUCGAAGAGUAGGGCGGGACACGUGGUAUCCUGUCUGAAUAUGGGGGGACCAUCCUCCAAGGCUAAAUACUCCUGACUGACCGAUAGUGAACCAGUACCGUGAGGGAAAGGCGAAAAGAACCCCGGCGAGGGGAGUGAAAAAGAACCUGAAACCGUGUACGUACAAGCAGUGGGAGCACCUUCGGGUGUGACUGCGUACCUUUUGUAUAAUGGGUCAGCGACUUAUAUUCUGUAGCAAGGUUAACCGUAUAGGGGAGCCGCAGGGAAACCGAGUCUUAACUGGGCGUUAAGUUGCAGGGUAUAGACCCGAAACCCGGUGAUCUAGCCAUGGGCAGGUUGAAGGUUGGGUAACACUAACUGGAGGACCGAACCGACUAAUGUUGAAAAAUUAGCGGAUGACUUGUGGCUGGGGGUGAAAGGCCAAUCAAACCGGGAGAUAGCUGGUUCUCCCCGAAAGCUAUUUAGGUAGCGCCUCGUGAAUUCAUCUUCGGGGGUAGAGCACUGUUUCGGCUAGGGGGUCAUCCCGACUUACCAACCCGAUGCAAACUACGAAUACCGAAGAAUGUUAUCACGGGAGACACACGGCGGGUGCUAACGUCCGUCGUGAAGAGGGAAACAACCCAGACCGCCAGCUAAGGUCCCAAAGUCAUGGUUAAGUGGGAAACGAUGUGGGAAGGCACAGACAGCCAGGAUGUUGGCUUAGAAGCAGCCAUCAUUUAAAGAAAGCGUAAUAGCUCACUGGUCGAGUCGGCCUGCGCGGAAGAUGUAACGGGGCUAAACCAUGCACCGAAGCUGCGGCAGCGACACUAUGUGUUGUUGGGUAGGGGAGCGUUCUGUAAGCCUGCGAAGGUGACCUGUGAGGGUUGCUGGAGGUAUCAGAAGUGCGAAUGCUGACAUAAGUAACGAUAAAGCGGGUGAAAAGCCCGCUCGCCGGAAGACCAAGGGUUCCUGUCCAACGUUAAUCGGGGCAGGGUGAGUCGACCCCUAAGGCGAGGCCGAAAGGCGUAGUCGAUGGGAAACAGGUUAAUAUUCCUGUACUUGGUGUUACUGCGAAGGGGGGACGGAGAAGGCUAUGUUAGCCGGGCGACGGUUGUCCCGGUUUAAGCAUGUAGGCUGGUUAUCCAGGCAAAUCCGGAUAAUCAAGGCUGAGGUGUGAUGACGAGGCACUACGGUGCUGAAGUAACAAAUGCCCUGCUUCCAGGAAAAGCCUCUAAGCAUCAGGUAACAUCAAAUCGUACCCCAAACCGACACAGGUGGUCAGGUAGAGAAUACCAAGGCGCUUGAGAGAACUCGGGUGAAGGAACUAGGCAAAAUGGUGCCGUAACUUCGGGAGAAGGCACGCUGGUGUGUAGGUGAAGUCCCUGCGGAUGGAGCUGAGACCAGUCGAAGAUACCAGCUGGCUGCAACUGUUUAUUAAAAACACAGCACUGUGCAAACACGAAAGUGGACGUAUACGGUGUGACGCCUGCCCGGUGCCGGAAGGUUAAUUGAUGGGGUUAUCCGUAAGGAGAAGCUCUUGAUCGAAGCCCCGGUAAACGGCGGCCGUAACUAUAACGGUCCUAAGGUAGCGAAAUUCCUUGUCGGGUAAGUUCCGACCUGCACGAAUGGCGUAAUGAUGGCCAGGCUGUCUCCACCCGAGACUCAGUGAAAUUGAACUCGCUGUGAAGAUGCAGUGUACCCGCGGCAAGACGGAAAGACCCCGUGAACCUUUACUAUAGCUUGACACUGAACAUUGAGCCUUGAUGUGUAGGAUAGGUGGGAGGCUUUGAAGCGUGGACGCCAGUCUGCGUGGAGCCAACCUUGAAAUACCACCCUUUAAUGUUUGAUGUUCUAACGUUGGCCCCUUACCGGGGUUGCGGACAGUGUCUGGUGGGUAGUUUGACUGGGGCGGUCUCCUCCCAAAGCGUAACGGAGGAGCACGAAGGUUAGCUAAUCCUGGUCGGACAUCAGGAGGUUAGUGCAAUGGCAUAAGCUAGCUUGACUGCGAGCGUGACGGCGCGAGCAGGUGCGAAAGCAGGUCAUAGUGAUCCGGUGGUUCUGAAUGGAAGGGCCAUCGCUCAACGGAUAAAAGGUACUCCGGGGAUAACAGGCUGAUACCGCCCAAGAGUUCAUAUCGACGGCGGUGUUUGGCACCUCGAUGUCGGCUCAUCACAUCCUGGGGCUGAAGUAGGUCCCAAGGGUAUGGCUGUUCGCCAUUUAAAGUGGUACGCGAGCUGGGUUUAGAACGUCGUGAGACAGUUCGGUCCCUAUCUGCCGUGGGCGCUGGAGAAUUGAGGGGGGCUGCUCCUAGUACGAGAGGACCGGAGUGGACGCAUCACUGGUGUUCGGGUUGUCAUGCCAAUGGCACUGCCCGGUAGCUAAAUGCGGAAGAGAUAAGUGCUGAAAGCAUCUAAGCACGAAACUUGCCCCGAGAUGAGUUCUCCCUGAGACUUUAAGUCUCCUGAAGGAACGUUAAAGACGAUGACGUUGAUAGGCCGGGUGUGUAAGCGCAGCGAUGCGUUGAGCUAACCGGUACUAAUGAACCGUGAGGCUUAACCUUACAACGCCGAAG
RNAcentral lists this ribosomal RNA (2923 nucleotides) under Klebsiella pneumoniae. RNAcentral's name for it is "bacterial LSU rRNA". It matches the Rfam family "Bacterial large subunit ribosomal RNA". The record is from RNAcentral. Lineage: Bacteria; Pseudomonadati; Pseudomonadota; Gammaproteobacteria; Enterobacterales; Enterobacteriaceae.